Molecule: ribosomal RNA, 253 nt
Filed under: uncultured bacterium
Lineage: Bacteria
Description: partial 16S ribosomal RNA
Rfam family: Bacterial small subunit ribosomal RNA
Source: RNAcentral
UACAGAGGUCUCGAGCGUUGUUCGGAUUCAUUGGGCGUAAAGGGUGCGUAGGUGGCGUGGUAAGUCGGAUGUGAAAUCCCGGGGCUCAACCCCGGAACUGCAUUCGAUACUGCCAUGCUAGGGUACUGGAGAGGAGAUUGGAAUUUACGGUGUAGCAGUGAAAUGCGUAGAUAUCGUAAGGAAGACCAGUGGCGAAGGCGGAUCUCUGGACAGUUACUGACACUGAGGCACGAAGGCCAGGGGAGCAAACGGG